This 443-nucleotide ribosomal RNA is filed under the name uncultured bacterium. RNAcentral describes it as "partial 16S ribosomal RNA". It matches the Rfam family "Bacterial small subunit ribosomal RNA", at positions 338 to 795 of the family's 1533-position model. The record is from RNAcentral.
CCUACGGGGGGCUGCAGUGGGGGAUAGUGGACAAUGGGGGAAACCCUGAUCCAGCGACGCCGCGUGAGUGAAGAAGGAUUUCGGGAUGUAAAGCUCUAUCAGCAGGGAAGAAAGAAAUGACGGUAGCGGAGUAAGAAGCCACGGCUAACUCCGGGCCAGCAGCCGCGGGAAUACGUAGGGGGCAAGCGUUAGCCGGAAUUACUGGGGGGAAGGGGAGCGUAGACGGUAAUGCAAGUCUGGAGGGAAAGGCGGGGGCCCAACCCCCGGCCUGCUCUGGAAACGGUGUAACUGGAGUGCAGGAGAGGCAGGCGGACUUCCUCGUGUAGCGGUGAAAUGCGUCGAUAUUAGGAGGAACACCAGUGGCGACGGCGGCCUGCUGGACUGUACCUGACGUUGCGGCUCGAACGCGUGGGGAGCAAACAGGAUUAGAUACCCUUGUAGUC